GUACUCUCACACUCUCUGAUCCUUUGGAUUUGGGGAGCGGUGGACUUGGGUGCUUGCUGCUUUCCUUGUGGCUCACCUCAAAUGCGUCAGUGCAUCUCUUGAUUGGACAUAGUACGGCGUGAUAAGUGUCUUCGCCGGCACCUCGUAAGAGGGUGGCCGAUUGGGAGCUCUGUGCUUUCAAACCGUCUUCGGACACUCCUGACA
RNAcentral lists this unclassified non-coding RNA (204 nucleotides) under uncultured Sebacina. Its description in RNAcentral is "sequence contains ITS2". The record is from RNAcentral. Lineage: Eukaryota; Fungi; Basidiomycota; Agaricomycetes; Sebacinales; Sebacinaceae.